This is a long non-coding RNA of Amphibalanus amphitrite, 2847 nucleotides long. RefSeq lists it as uncharacterized. Lineage: Eukaryota; Metazoa; Arthropoda; Thecostraca; Balanomorpha; Balanidae. The transcript has 2 exons. The record is from RefSeq and is a predicted model, not a curated record.
GGCAUGUCUGUAUGUCUGGCGAAAAAAGUGGGGGCGUUUAACGCCCCCCCCCCAGCAACUCGCGGGUUAAGGGGUACUAAUUGAAUGAAAAUGACGGAAGUGUUUGGUAAGCAGACGAGGAAUGGAUGACGAAAGGUAUGUGAGGGAAGGGCGAAAGGCGACGAGACGUGGAAAAGGACUACAAAAGGAGCGAUUAGAAGAAAGCAUAACUAAUAUCUCGCAUUGCAAUAGUUUCCUCACUGCGUUUCAAUAACCCGACUGACAUCCUAUCAAACACCGGUCCUGUCGGGCACACAAAAAGCCGCGACCGGAGCCGGCUACCUCAAUCGAAGUAGUCAGUCGAAGUCGACACGAUUACGUUUUGGCCACAUUAGUCUUGGCGGGGUGUCCGUCAUCCCACCCCGCCCUAAUCCCUCCAUCCCCCGGUAGGCACCACGGUCCGGCUCUGACCCAUGCCGCUGGCCUGUCCCUCCUGACGACUGGGGUCCCGUCUCCGUGACCCCUGGGGUCGGGUCGGGAGGACCGGCGGGUCAGGCUGGCGUCCCGCCUCGCCCGGGCGGUGCGUUCCUAGGGGAGGGUGUCGCGGGGAAGGGGGGGGCGAGAGGGCAGGGUUCACCCCAACAGGCGCGAUAAGGAAGACGGCACCCUCACUCGUCUUGAAGAGCCGGCAGACGACGGGCCUGUCUGCCGGUCCUUCAUACUCCACGUCUGAGGGCUCCUGGACCAACGAGUCUCCAGCUGAAUAUCCGAGAUGGAUCUGAAGUGGUGGGAGUGGAUACUGCUGGCGCUAGCGACGCUGAUCCCGUCUCUGCACUAUCGGAUGAUCCUGGCGACCGUGCCUCCAUUUCCGUGCUGUACGUCAAUCGGUGCGGACCCUCACUCGUGGUGGUGGCAGCUGUUCGGCUACGCCUGCCCCGCGUAUGUCUCGCCUGAGGAUGACUACCGGUGGUCAAACGAGCACGAAUCCGUCAGCAAGUUCAUUUGGUCGCUGCCGACAAAGUUUAAAGCCAUCUGUCCAUUUGGGUGGCGUCGUCAAAACGACAUAUGCUGCAGCAUGCACGCAGGAUAAGAAUGCUACACUAGUUUGUCCUGUCAAUACUGACCGGCUGUGCAUUUCGGCUAAAAGUGAUUACAUCGCCAAUGAUCACGAUAACGAAGGCAGUUGAUUUGGACUGAGGGUCGUGGGAUGCCCUGAUGUGUCGACUGAGGGAUACCCUUAUGUAGAGCGACCACGUCAGUGCGCGUAUUCAGCGCAGAAACUAAUCAGUGAGGUCAAUGUAACGGCUGAGCACGGUAAAAGGGAGACAAAACCAGCCCGGGAAUGCUGGUUUUGGCCGUAGUGAUCCUGAACUCUGGCUGCAUUUGUAGGUAUAGCCGCUCGCCGUUUUUGUGUGUGCUUGUAUUUUGUUUGUUUUCUACGGACGACGAUGCAUCUAGAUGUGUUGUUCCCUCUCGCUCCCAUCGCGCUUUCAUGAAGUAGUGUUUCAUAGAUGGUUGUGUUUUUUUUUCUCAUGUGCUUUGGUUAGUUUCCUGCACUACUAUGUAUAAUACGACCAUGUGUAUCCAGUGCAGUGGUAAGUUUCUUCCAGUUUACAGAUCGUUUCUUUACUCAGUUCGCUCUCAGUAACCGUCUACAGUGUGUUGUAGAGCCUGUCCGUGGCCGUGCUUUUGUCCACGCUUUGUGUAUGAUUUUAGCAUUAGAGUCAUUGUAACCGUGUUCCAUUUCGUGUGCCCUUGUGAGGCCUGGUAGAUAUUUGUAGGGAAGUAGGUAAUAGUGUCAUGCCUAAAAAUAAGAUUCCUUUCCUACCGAUAAUACCGACUAGUGAGCUCAUCUUCCGGGUAAUCUGUUGAGUGUAGACUGUACCAGUGUACCAGUGUACCUAGAAAGUGUAUGGGAAGAACUGCGUAAUGAGCAUAAGCACUAAUUUCUGGUGGUGGCCGUAGAAACUAUACUAAGGUGAUGGGUUUACUUACAAAACAUGUGCUUUUGUCAUUUAUAGAAUACAGAGUGGCUGGGUGGAUGCUGACAUGUAGCAAACGUGAGGAAAUGUGUGGCAACCUUGUAUCAAGUAGGAUGGCAGGGUGUUUGAUGUAGUGCUGGUUUGUUUAGAGCGCUUUUUCACGCCUGUGUGGGCCGAAUUGGCGUGUUUGAGACUGUGGUCCAUUUUACAAACUUAUGGGAGUAAAUUUGACUUGUGAGCUUAUCAUCUUGCAUGAGCUGAUGUGCGCUGAUUGGGACGAUACUUUCCUGGUGGAGGGCGAUACUAUCCCGGUGUUUUGGGCGAUAUUAACCUGUGGAAGGUUCCCGUUUAGUGGGGAGAUAAUAAGUAGAUAGCUACUAACACUGUGUGGGGAGAUAAGGGAUACUAACCAAUGUGUGGUACUUUGCCAGGCAAUGUGACGGCUUUGAAGUUUGUACCUACAUCGCAAGUUCGGAACAUACGGGUAGAUCCAGCGGUAGUCAAUGCAGCAUUACACUGUAGUGGACACAUUACUGCACUGUGAGCAAUGUACAAAGUGCCCUUAGGAAUGUUGCUUUCUAUUUAUGAAUUUGUGUAUUGUGUUACUUCGCUUAUGCUUAUUAUGAGUGUUUGUAAGGCAUGCUUUUGCGGGACAUGUAGAAAAGCAUUCAUGCACAAUGCCUCAUCAAGGGUCAUUAUGAGCUGCUUAUGUCUGGUCAUGCAUUGUCUUUGAGUGUGCACUGCAAUGUAUGAUCUCUACAAGGCGAAACAGUGUCAGGAAGGUCACACGUAAUUUACUCAAUACUCCAUCGCAAGUAGCAUUUCAAUCGCCUGCAUUCAGUGGCCUUUUAACCGGUGUGCCCUUCGUGUCACUUCCAUUCCCAUU